Long non-coding RNA from Eucalyptus grandis, 1554 nucleotides. RefSeq lists it as uncharacterized. The record is from RefSeq and is a predicted model, not a curated record. NCBI's taxonomy places the organism in Eukaryota, Viridiplantae, Streptophyta, Magnoliopsida, Myrtales, Myrtaceae. The transcript is spliced from 2 exons.
GUCUUCUCCUUUUGUAUCUUGGUGUAAUUGUAUACGAGUUGAAUUGAAAAGAUGAACAAUGAAAUUUGUCAAGCACUCAGCUUAAAAAAAGAGAGCCAAAAAACAGGAAAAUGAAGCGAGAGCCAUUAUCCAGAUAUCUCUUUCGCCCUUUGGAACAACGUCCAUCACCGGCCGCGCGGGCUCAGAUUCCCUAACUGCCCGCCGCCGUACGAUCCCCCGAGAAGAUGACGGCAGCGACUCCGACUCUGACGCCCAGAAAAGCCUCAACCAGAAGAAGCGCGAGGCUCGGCCGCGACGUCCCCUGGGGCAUGGAACUCGCUUCCUUUUCCCAUCUCCAGAUCCAAGCGCUCCCUCAGAUACUACCGGGAAAAAAAGAUGUGCCUUGGAGGCGGCGCCAUUUUGAGCUUUCACGGGUUUCGUGGAUAUAAUGAUGUCCAAUAAUGCAGCACUGUAGAUUCAUUAUCGCUUUCUUUUUAAAAGGGGAAUUGCAGAGUGGCUUCUGUGGAGCAAGCGGCCUUGGACGCUUGGAUUCUUGCGAAGAGACUGAAACCGGAUGUUCGAGAAGGAAAGCGAAGGCAGUUCAAGUUCAUUGGUACUAUCACAUUUUUAUUCAUGUUUUUACGAGUGUGUACGUGUGUGUUUGUGAGAAUCUUUUUGCCUUUCUCGCGGCUUCACCUGGUAUCUUCUUUGCUAUGCUCGGCUAUUGCACGAUGAGUUCUUUCUGGGUAAAAUAGUUCUUGGAGUAAGCAGGUCUUUCCCAACUGCCGUUUUUUCCCACUUAGAUUGAAAUUGAGCGCGUCAGCUUGUACUUUAAAAUGCUUGGAUGGUACUUGCAGUAUAGUUCCUCGAGCAUAUAUUGAUGAAUGAUCAGUAACUGCUAAUGAUGUGCUCGGGAAAGUCAUAGAUGAAUGCUCAAGCCGGGUGAAAAAUCUGAAGUUUUGCUUGCUGAACAAAUUUUCUUUUUCCAAUUCCAGAUGGAACAUAAGUGUCUUUGUCUUUUUUUUUUUUCCUUUUUGCUAAAGCAGUUUUAUUUAGUUGUAUUCUAUAGAAUAUGCACGAGAGGUGACAUUGAUUCGUCGUGCAAUGUAAACUUCCUUAAUGAAUCACAUUUGUUAGGGAAGUUGCUGCGAGAAGUGGAGCCUGAGUUAAUAGAUGCUUCAAUUGAGGCCACGGAAGAUGGUGACCAGAGCAGGCUGCGAGCUUUAUUGGUAUCGGAGGCCUGGGUUGGCAAAGAUAAUGACGAAAGAGAAAGAAGAUUUCGAACAUGGACACGGGGAAGAGGAGGGGAUACCUGGUUUUUAACUUCGUCGCUUGAAAAAAAAAAAAAAAAAUCUGCAUUGCCUUCCGCUGCUCCUCAAAGUUUCAUUUGCAUCCUCUGAGGAAAACGAGUUCAGCAUGUACGGGCGGUGCGAGAAGUCCGCUUCCCAAUCACCUAGAGAAGAAAGUUUCACCAGUACGUCAUUGAUUUGAUACUUAGUUGUAAAGCAACCGUUGGAAACACUCUUUGCUGGUUACAAAUCUCUUAAGCAUACACUAAAAUCCUGGCUUCAUUUU